UAUCCGUAGGUGAACCUGCGGAGGGAUCAUUACAGAGUUCAUGCCCUACCGGGUAGAUCUCCCACCCUAUGUUAUUAUUACUUUGUUGCUUUGGCGGGCCGUUAGGCUCCGGCCCGACUACCGGCCCCGGCUGGUAAGCGCCCGCCAGAGGACCCAAAACUCUGAAUAUUAGUGUCGUCUGAGUACUAUAUAAUAGUUAAAACUUUCAACAACGGAUCUCUUGGUUCUG
This 229-nucleotide unclassified non-coding RNA is filed under the name plant metagenome. RNAcentral describes it as "partial contains small subunit ribosomal RNA, internal transcribed spacer 1, and 5.8S ribosomal RNA". The record is from RNAcentral.